UUUAUACGACCACGUUGACUAGAUAUACUAUAUCCCACGGAAGCAGAAGUUAGAUUGUAUCUGGGGACUUCAUGAUACGUUACAGAUCCAUGACCAUAGGCGGCCUGAGAUUUCGGAAUUGAAGUGGCACUAAUAUCCUCAUCCAUAUUUUCCUGUUGUAAAGAAUCAUUGAUAAUAGUAGAAAUCUCAGGUUCUGAAUUACGGGAAGAUUGAAGGUAUAACUCAUCAUAGUCUUUACCGUUGGUGGGAAGGGAAAGCUCAGAGAAAUCAUAAACUUUCCUAAGUGUACUAGCAUAGGAAGAUCCACUGGAAAUCCGUUUUGCUUCCAUCUUGGCCAAAACCUUUUUACGAAGACUUUCUGUAGAGAUAUCUGAG
Schizosaccharomyces pombe (fission yeast) is the source of this 375-nucleotide non-coding RNA. The record is from the annotation of a GenBank genome assembly. Lineage: Eukaryota; Fungi; Ascomycota; Schizosaccharomycetes; Schizosaccharomycetales; Schizosaccharomycetaceae.